Molecule: ribosomal RNA, 796 nt
Filed under: uncultured Glomus
Lineage: Eukaryota; Fungi; Glomeromycota; Glomeromycetes; Glomerales; Glomeraceae
Description: SSU rRNA
Rfam family: Eukaryotic small subunit ribosomal RNA
Source: RNAcentral
AUCAACUUUCGAUGGUAGGAUAGAGGCCUACCAUGGUGGUAACGGGUAACGGGGUGUUAGGGCACGACACCGGAGAGGGAGCCUGAGAAACGGCUACCACAUCCAAGGAUGGCAGCAGGCGCGCAAAUUACCCAAUCCCGACACGGGGAGGUAGUGACAAUAAAUAACAAUACGGGGUUCUUAAGGAUCUCGUAAUUGGAAUGAGUACAAUUUAAAUCUCUUAACGAGGAACAAUUGGAGGGCAAGUCUGGUGCCAGCAGCCGCGGUAAUUCCAGCUCCAAUAGCGUAUAUUAAAGUUGUUGCAGUUAAAAAGCUCGUAGUUGAAUUUCGGGAUCAAUUUGUCGGUCGUGCCUCGGUACGUACUGGCAUUAUUGGUUUCUACCUUCUGAAGAACCUUGAUGUCAUUAAUUUGGUGUCUUGGGGAAUCAGGACUGUUACUUUGAAAAAAUUAGAGUGUUUAAAGCAGGCAUACGCUUGAAUACAUUAGCAUGGAAUAAUGAAAUAGGACGUUUGAUUCUAUUUUGUUGGUUUCUAGGAUCGACGUAAUGAUUAAUAGGGAUAGUUGGGGGCAUUAGUAUUCAAUUGUCAGAGGUGAAAUUCUUGGAUUUAUUGAAGACUAACUACUGCGAAAGCAUUUGCCAAGGAUGUUUUCAUUAAUCAAGAACGAAAGUUAGGGGAUCGAAGACGAUCAGAUACCGUCGUAGUCUUAACCAUAAACUAUGCCGACUAGGGAUCGGAUGAUGUUAUUUUUAAUGACUCAUUCGGCGCCUUACGGGAAACCAAAGUGUUUGGGUUC